AUUUUUCUCAUUUGAAAUUUCAUAAAUAAAAAAGAAAAUUUCUUCAAACAUUUUUUUGAGAGGAUUAAUAUUCAACAGCAUAGUGAAUUGCUCUCAGAGAAAACAAAAAUUUUAAGUUCAUUAGAACACAUUCAUUCUGUGUCAGAAACCUAUGCUGUGUCAACUAUUUAAUCACAAUCCAAAUUUAGAGCUGAAUCCAGCUUGAAUGUUGUGUCCAUACUUGCCCCAACCGUUCAGGGUUCAACCUCUGCGGUCGUAUAAAGCUACGCCCUGCGGAGCAUCUGGUUGUGAUUAUCAUGGCU
RNAcentral lists this long non-coding RNA (302 nucleotides) under Mytilus galloprovincialis (Mediterranean mussel). Lineage: Eukaryota; Metazoa; Mollusca; Bivalvia; Mytilida; Mytilidae. The record is from RNAcentral.